This 389-nucleotide long non-coding RNA is filed under the name Homo sapiens (human). Its description in RNAcentral is "non-protein coding lnc-PIK3C2A-1:2". Lineage: Eukaryota; Metazoa; Chordata; Mammalia; Primates; Hominidae. The record is from RNAcentral.
GUGCUGCGCUUGGCUGGCUGUGGAGUCGGCCGAAGCUUUCGGCGGCGGCUGAGCCAGCUGAGGGGAAAAAUGGCUCGGACUGUGGCGGCUUCGGCGGCUCAGGUUGUGGUAGAGGCGGAGGCUCAGGCAGCUUGAGGAGAAUCGCUUGAACCCAGGAGGCGGAGGUUGCAGUGAGCCGAGAUCACGCCACUGCACUGGAAUUUCGACGCAAGCUGGCGUCAGCCUCAAAUUCCCGCUCUGGCAACAAGGCUGACCAAAGACCGAUGCAUGCCGGGAUGAGGCUGGAUUGACGAUCUCUUGCGACGCUGAAAUGCAUUUCGGGAGAUGUAGUCACACAGACGGGCGGUGGCUGCGCAGCGUAGCUCCGCCUCCUGCGUGAGAGGAAGCGG